GAGGGGUCCAGGGUGUGGGAAACGGGGAGGGGUUUGAGGAGGGGAUCGGAAUGUGGCUCAAGUUCGGGAGGCGUUACCUGCGGAGGGUUUGAGGCAGGCCCAGGAGCGAGCCCAUGGUCUUCCGACGCGGGGCCAGGGGCGGGGCCCAGGAUCCGGAGCUUCGUGCGGGGCCGAGUCCAGGUUUGGGGCCCGGGAGGCGGGGCCAGUUAGGGCGAGGGUCCCUGGGAUCGUCGGGUCAGGCCUUGGGCUAACGUAGGCACUCUCGCAGUUCCUCCGCCUUCAGGAAGGUCUUUUCAGCAGGGGCCUUACGGGUGCAUGCUUCGGUCCUGGAGGCCUUAUCCUAGCCUCCUCUCCAUCAGCGCCACCCGUCUGGGGCCCGAAAGGAGGGAGCUUUCCCUCUGUCCCCCAGCCUUUGGACUGUCACUAAACAAGCCAUUCGUUCAUCAAAUACUUUUUAAGCGCCUACCAUGUGCCUGACAAGGGAGAUGUAACGGUGAGAAAAACUAGGUGUGGUCCAGGCCCUUCAGGGGCUCAGGUGCUCGUGGAAGAAGUGGACAUUGAAGUACUUAUCACACAAAUGAGGAUAAAAGUACGAUAACGAUAUCUACCACGAAGACCAACAGGUAUUCUACCAUAUAAGAAAUAUGAUGUUCUCUGUACAUUGAAGAGUUGGUCUAAUAUUUGGCCUGGUGGAUGGAGAAAUUGCCUGUCUGCUCCGCUCUGGUUGAAGAAACCAGUCUGACUGUCUCUGAGGCUAUGGAGCAGUCCAUGAAGAAUGAAAGCCCUUGGCCAGGCACAUUGGCUCACACCUGUAAUACCAGCGCUUUGGGAGGCCGAGGCAGGUGGAUCACUUGAAGUCACGAGUUUGACACCAGCAUGGCCAACAUGGUGAAACGCUGUCUCUACAGAAAAUAGAAAAAUUAGCUGGGCCUGGUGACACGUGCCUGUAAUCCCAGCUACUCAGGAGGCUGAGGCAGGAGAAUCACUUGAACCUGGGAGGCAGAGGUUGCAGUGGGGAGCUGAGAUCACACCACUGCAUUCCAGCCUGGGCGACAGAGCGAGACUCUCUCAAAAAAAAAAAAAAAAAAGAAUGAAUGUCCUCAUGAUGGCCUCAAGCACAUUGGUCCCUGAAGAGAGCCAAGGAAGGCCCACUUUACUCUGCACUGCAAAGCAGGCAGGUGGACAGGAUGAGAAGUGGAUUCAGUGACAGGCAUUGACCCAAAGGAUUUUCUGCCUAAUGGUCGGUUCAGCAGAAGAUUAAACUGAGCACAGCAUCCUGUUCCCUCAAACUGUCUGGUUGGUCAGUGGGGAAUGUUCUUGUCUCGUUAAAUGUCCUCAUGCUACUGUCAAGAUAUCCUGUUACAAAACAUCAUAAACCAGGUUUACAAAUAGGCCAGGUGACUGUGGAAUUUCUCCUUGGCAAGGCCUUAGCUAUGGGCAUGCGAUUGGUGUGCAGUAAUCACAGUGUUCCGGGCCACUUGAGGGAUAAAAUAUACCUUAGGUGAUAAACUGUUGUAUUUUAAUGUGAAUAUUUCCACCAACACUAAACAGUAACCCCAUGAGUUUUCUCAUACCUGUUACACUGUGGAGUUGCAACAAGCUAACAAGCAAGUUGCAAACAGAAUUAUCGCAUUUGGCUCUUAUUCACAGCCAGGGUUCUUCAAGCUGUACCUGGGACAGUCUUCCCUCACAUGAGGUUUAUAGCAUCAUUUAUUUCAUUAUUUAUUUAUUUUUUGAGACGGAGUUUCGCUCUGU
Molecule: long non-coding RNA, 1755 nt
Filed under: Homo sapiens (human)
Lineage: Eukaryota; Metazoa; Chordata; Mammalia; Primates; Hominidae
Description: HSALNT0345285
Source: RNAcentral